Molecule: long non-coding RNA, 998 nt
Filed under: Homo sapiens (human)
Lineage: Eukaryota; Metazoa; Chordata; Mammalia; Primates; Hominidae
Description: HSALNT0349309
Source: RNAcentral
UAAUAAUCUUCUUGUAACCACUGACAGGCCUUUUUGUGAAUGAUGAUGGAAAAAGCAAGAACCUUGUCCAGGUUCCUCUCCAGGGAGCAGGGGUGGGUUGUGAUUCUUGAUUUCAUUCCUUUAGAUAUGAAGAGUUUUCACACAGAGGCAGCACGAAUUUGUCUCUCUCCUAGAGGGUGGGGAGAGUUGCUGGGUGGAUAUAACUGCAUCACAGCCUUUCUGGGUAAACUGGCCACUCCCUACUGAUUUGUUAUCAUGCUAAAUGUGUCUCCUCCCUUCCUUUCUGGAGCUUUUGCAGCUGUUCCUGGAAGGAGACCCAGUUGAAAGGGGUUGUUAUGGACCAGGAACAGCUGGGAUCUUUAAUGAUCUGUGAGCAGCUUACAGCAAAGUUCCAACACCCUGAGUAUCAGUCCCCAAAUCCUUGGUCUUUGCAUUCCAACACAAAGUAAAAAGGAUUGAGCAGGGUUUUGGUUUUGGUUGCAAGUAACAGAAACCCAACGCUAAUUAAUAAACGGGAAAGUGUGUCAGUGGAAAUCUCCACAAGUCCGACGGAAAGAGAAAACUGCUUUCCCAAAGGGUGUAAGAGGAUGAAAGGCAUGUCAUCAGCUGAAUUGCAUCAGGUGUCCAUCUUGGAAUCAAUCACGGUGCCUCUUAUUAGCAAAGCCUGAGUCAUAGAGCUUUCUCCAGCUGGUAGAAAAAGGGGAAGUAUGAGACUUAAAGGUGGAGGUGGCCCCAUGGAAAAGACCUAAGGGUAGCCUGCGGGAACUGAGAGAAAACCCCAACUGGCAGCCAGCAAGAAAACAGGGACCUUAAUCUUACGACCACAAGGAACUGGACUCUGCUACCAGAAUGAGCUGCAAGGGAGAUUCUUCCUCAGAAGCUUCAGAUAAGAACUCCACCUGGCUGACCUUUGAUUUUGGUUUUGUGAGAACUUUGGCAGAUAACCCAGGUGAGUCUUCACAGUCUGAGUUAACAAGUUGGUAUUGUUUUAGGUUGCA